GAGAUGUUGAAUCUUCGUGAGUAAAGAAUAAUGUGUCUGGUUACAAUAUUGAUCAGACCCUGUUUGAGUUCUUCACCCCUUAGAAAUUACUUGUUCUAAGGAAACAACCUCUUGCAGAAAUGCAGCGUAAGGCUGCGUGCUAUAGACCCUUAUGGUUCGGCCCUUCCCCGUACCUUGUGCAUAGCGGGAGCUUAAUGCACUGGGCUGCCCUCUUUUUUAAGAAAAGAAAAUUGUUAGCACCUUGGCUUUUGGUCAAAAAUGUUUGAUGAAUAACUCAGGCAGCGCGUAGAGUUUCAUCCUUAACUUACAUAUUCUGGGUGCACCAUCAUAAUUUAUAGAACCAGAUAGUAGCAGUAAAGCCACAAAUAAUCUUUAUUCCUACGCCAGAGUACAUUCCCAGUAUACUAUAGAACAAAGUGAUGACAAAAACUUCGCUUCAAAAAUUCCUACAUUUAUUUGUACAGAACAAUCCAAGACUCAUAUGUGAGCUACUUGAUCAAUUAUGUAUACUAUCCAACUAGCAACACCACUAUUCUAUAACUUAUAAUUUGUAUUGAAUCAUUUUGAUGAGUGCUGAGAAGCAGUUUUUGCUUCUUGUUUGGAUCCUGAAAUGGCAGCAGUUGCUGCAGCAGUCAUAGCAGCAGCAGCUGCACCUAUUUUUAUGCCUCCUGCAGCUUUAACAGCACCGCCGAUUUUAGCAAAUGCAGCAAUUCCUCCAACAAGGAUGGCCCUCACGGCAACUGCUGGUUUUACCUCCAUAUUUAUUUGUCUUCCUAUAUGAAACAGGGCAGACUAUUAAAGCUCAAGGUCGAUAAACAAAACAUUGAUCUUGUUAAAGUAACAAAGAAAGUUAAAAGACAUUCCCAGAAAUAUUUGCACGUAAUAAUAUUGUGCUUAGUUUUUGUAAGAUUAGUAUUUUUUUUUUUCUUUCCCUCUACUACAUGAAGUAUCCAAUUUCAUAUAUGAAAUGACACUUGCCAGAUGCCCUGGGAUGGAAUAACAAUUCAACAUGAACGUGAAUACUUGCAAAAGCUACUCAAGAAUAUCAUUUUCUUGAGAAUAUAAGUAUAUUUUGCUUGACCAUAGAUCAUAAAGAUAGGUAAUAUUGAUUUUUAUGUAAAUAGAGCAGUUGAGAAAUGAUACAAACCUAAGUCUCCAAUAUUGAAGAAUCUUCGAACUCUCAAAGAUUACACCUCCUUUUUUCUUAGGCCAAAAUCUUAGUUAUGUGUAAUGACCAAUUAAUUGUGUAUACUUUGGUCUUUUGGGGAGUUUGGGAAUUGGGGAGACCAUAAAUUGAAUGCAAAACCACUAGUGUAAAACGUCUUACGAACGCCUCGCUCAGCGCCUCUCUUUCCCUUGUGGCUGUGGACACACUAAAUUUUAACCUUUCUUAUACGCAGUGUAGCAUUUCUCUUUAAUGUAAUCAGUAUGAAAAAAUAUUAUAUUAAAAAUAUAUAUAUAUAUUUCUCUCUAGUUGUCUA
This 1481-nucleotide long non-coding RNA is filed under the name Nicotiana tabacum (common tobacco). RNAcentral describes it as "long non-coding RNA (NTAB_LNC018439)". The record is from RNAcentral. Lineage: Eukaryota; Viridiplantae; Streptophyta; Magnoliopsida; Solanales; Solanaceae.